RNAcentral lists this ribosomal RNA (376 nucleotides) under uncultured bacterium. RNAcentral describes it as "bacterial SSU rRNA". It matches the Rfam family "Bacterial small subunit ribosomal RNA", at positions 790 to 1167 of the family's 1533-position model. The record is from RNAcentral.
GUAGUCCACGCCUUAAACGAUGAGAACUAGACGUCGGUCAGCUUGGCUGAUCGGUGUCGUAGCUAACGCGCUAAGUUCUCCGCCUGGGGAGUACGGCCGCAAGGUUGAAACUCAAAGAAAUUGACGGGGGCCCGCACAAGCGGUGGAGUAUGUGGUUUAAUUCGAUGCAACGCGAAGAACCUUACCUGGUCUUGACAUGUCAGGAAUCCUGCAGAGAUGCGGGAGUGCCGAAAGGAGCCUGAACACAGGUGCUGCAUGGCUGUCGUCAGCUCGUGUCGUGAGAUGUUGGGUUAAGUCCCGCAACGAGCGCAACCCUUGUCCUUAGUUGCCAUCAUUCAGUUGGGCACUCUAAGGAGACUGCCGGUGACAAACCGGA